AGAAAAAGCCAGAACUCUUGAUAUUUAUAUAAACUUGUGAACAAAUAUUACAAUUAGAUUACCUUCCAAAAUUACAGACAAAAUCCUCAGCUAAUACCAAGAGGAUUCAUCGCCAUGACCAAUUAUCAGAUGAGAAACAAUGGCAAGUGCAGUCUUAAAAGGACCGUGGGCCAUUUCCUUCUUCGAGAUUAAUUAAAAAAAAGGGAAAGAAGAAGAAUAUAUACAGUAUUGGACUAAAAAUCACACAGCAACACAAAAUAUUAUACACAAAAACAGUCAAUUAACAAGAAUAGGCCAAUCGGUGAAUCACACGAUCCCUAAGGAUCCCAUUGUAAAGAGCCACUCUAUUUGCAGGCAUUCCUUUGCCUUUAGCACCACUGCUACCACCACCACCACCAAUCUUCUUGAACUUUGGUGGAGAAUAUGAAUUCUUGCCAAGAACAAUGGUAUCACGCUGCCUCCUGAACUCUUCCCCGUUCCCACUUGGAUCCACCACAUCCUCUGCAAAGUGCACCCGCUUUUUCUUCUUCUUUUUCUUCCCCUCUUCACAACCCACCAAAAAAAUAAAAAAAAUAAAACAGAAACCAAAUUAGCAUACAAGAAAAGAAAAGAAAAGAAGAUAUAUCUGAAGUCCAAUUAUUAUCAAGAACAAUCAUGUAUAUAUAUGCAUGUAAAUAUGCAGAGAUGUCUUUGUUAGAUAUACCUGAUGAGAUACAGGAGCGCAGAACUUGGUCUGAAGAUUGUGGAAUUUGGUCAAUAGGUAAGAGGGAGGCAGGUAGAGAUUUUUGAAGGCGAAGAGCGAGGAGAAUUACGGUGCCGGAGACAGCCAUGGCAGUGGCCAGAACCACUCCCUGUGAACAGAGUAUAGAGGACAUGGUUGUUGAAGAAGAAAAGAAAGUGUAUGCAGGCUUGGAAGGAGAAUAUGCUGUGUGGGGUUUUUACCCUUUUACAUGGGGCAGAAGACGAGGGAUAAAUAGAUAAACAAACACAGCUUGGUGGGUGCAGUGGAAAAAAGAAAGGGAAAUUAAAAUGUCAACAUAUUGUACAAUCCUGGUUCAUGGAAGAACCAAAUGGAUUAUUAUUUUAAGUGGG
RNAcentral lists this unclassified non-coding RNA (1092 nucleotides) under Hevea brasiliensis (rubber tree). The record is from RNAcentral. Lineage: Eukaryota; Viridiplantae; Streptophyta; Magnoliopsida; Malpighiales; Euphorbiaceae.